Molecule: ribosomal RNA, 253 nt
Filed under: uncultured bacterium
Lineage: Bacteria
Description: partial 16S ribosomal RNA
Rfam family: Bacterial small subunit ribosomal RNA
Source: RNAcentral
UACGUAGGGGGCAAGCGUUGUCCGGAUUUAUUGGGCGUAAAGAGCGUGUAGGCGGUCAGGUAGGUCCGUUGUGAAAACUCGAGGCUCAACCUCGAGACGCCGAUGGAAACCAUCUGACUAGAGUCCGGAAGAGGAGAGUGGAAUUCCUGGUGUAGCGGUGAAAUGCGCAGAUAUCAGGAAGAACACCAAUGGCGAAGGCAGCUCUCUGGGACGGUACUGACGCUGAGACGCGAAAGCGUGGGGAGCGAACAGG